RNAcentral lists this ribosomal RNA (301 nucleotides) under uncultured bacterium. RNAcentral describes it as "partial 16S ribosomal RNA". It matches the Rfam family "Bacterial small subunit ribosomal RNA", at positions 509 to 808 of the family's 1533-position model. The record is from RNAcentral.
CAGUAGCCGCGGUAAGACAGAGGAUGCAAGCGUUAUCCGGAAUGAUUGGGCGUAAAGCGUCUGUAGGUGGCUUUUCAAGUCCGCCGUCAAAUCCCAGGGCUCAACCCUGGACAGGCGGUGGAAACUACCAAGAUGGAGUACGGUAGGGGCAGAGGGAAUUUCCGGUGGAGCGAUGAAAUGCGUUGAGAUCGGAAAGAACACCAACGGUGAAAGCACUCUGCUGGGCCGACACUGACACUGAGAGACGAAAGUUAGGGGAGAAAAUGGGAUUAGAUACCCGGGUAGUCCCUGUCUCUUAUAC